Xenia sp. Carnegie-2017 is the source of this 879-nucleotide long non-coding RNA. RefSeq lists it as uncharacterized. NCBI's taxonomy places the organism in Eukaryota, Metazoa, Cnidaria, Anthozoa, Malacalcyonacea, Xeniidae. The transcript has 3 exons. The record is from RefSeq and is a predicted model, not a curated record.
GUGAAAGCAUUUUAUAUAAAAACAGUUUAUUUUCUUGAUCUUUUCAUAACAAAACAACUUCUGGAUAUCAAAGUGUGCGUUUCAAAUAUUACAAUGCAAAUCAUUUAAAUGGCAAAAUUACUGGCGAAAGUCGGCAGACCAUCGUAAUCCGAGAAGUAUACGGGAAAGACGCCACUAAUUGUUGUCAAAGACAAUGGAGAAGCAGCAGUGGUAGCAGUAUUUCAGUUUUUCCUAAUUUCAUUAUGAUGGAAAGACCUCGAAAGAUUGACAAAUCCCACGGUUUCAUGCAAUCGAUAAUCAAGAACCAAGUUCUUCGAGACGAAUACGAUAAGGAACAGAAAUACUUAACCGAAGGGAAAAAAUUAACUCGACCUGAAGACCAACAAAUGAAAGAUGAACAUCUAGAAAUUGGUGUGAAAAGAUCUCGGGAAAAACUGAAGAAUCAAAAGCAAAAUCAAAGCGAGUAGCAAAACAAUUAUAUGUGCCGCCACACGCAAAAAGGCGCUCAGCGAGUGAAACUAGCUCAAAAGCACCACCAGCUUUACAAAGAGAACAAACAAAUCCAAGGAGAAACUCGACUCACAAUAGAGUAGAGUCCAGAGUACUUUUCAAAUUUGAAUAUGAGAAUGAAGAGGGUGAAGUACAAUCGAUACUUGUGAAAGAGGAUGAUAAUGCAGAGGAUCUAGCUGAAACAUUUGGAAAUCAGCUAGGAUUAACAAAAGCUUUUAGAAAGGCUCUUCAUAUCAGGCUCAAACAAGAAAUGGAUAACUUUUUAAACAGUUAAUCUAUAAUUAUUUUUAUUGAAUCCAUAAAGAAAGACUUUAUAAUACCAUUAUUAGUACACUGAUAUACUAUAUAAAAAAACUUUUUGUUUGCAAA